RNAcentral lists this long non-coding RNA (449 nucleotides) under Helianthus annuus (common sunflower). RNAcentral's name for it is "sRNA HanXRQr2_Chr10g0466061". The record is from RNAcentral. Lineage: Eukaryota; Viridiplantae; Streptophyta; Magnoliopsida; Asterales; Asteraceae.
UGGACGAACAACACCUACUGCAUGCUUCAAUUCAUCCUCAGCACCCUUUAGAUUAAAAAAAACUAGUAACUUAGCAAAUAAUAAACAUAAUAAAAACUACCACUUAUUUGUUUAUUGUGUUUUGAGUGUGUUUGGGGUUUGCUUAACUAAUUAUUUGUGGCUCAAAUAAGUUGAUUUAAAUAAGCAGUAUAAAGUUGCUUAUUUCAAAAUAAGUAGUUCAAAUAAGCAAUCACAAACACCCUCUAGCUAGUAACUAGUAGAUUAUAAGCUAAGGGUUACCGUAUACACACUUGAGUGACCUAUAAAGUAGUUGCAAUACAUGGGUGGGCUUAAUGAAACUACUUUGUAUGUCGCUCAAAUGUAUUCCACACACUAUUGGUUGUUCACAAGAUUAGAGAUAUUUACCUGAAUGUCCAGCAGGAUCCACAAGAUCCUUGAUUCUUGACUGG